UUUACAUGCCAGAACCAAUGAAGAAUAUCUUCUAGACAUAGGACAGAUUGAAUGAGGUUAGAGGAAGCCAGUAUCCUAGUCUAGAAUGUCUAGAAAGUAAAUCGAGGACCCGUGGUCACACAACACAUUGGAGCAAGGCACGGACAUCAUCCUCAGGACAACAGCGGUACGCAGUUUGGGAUCUCUUUUCUCUCUGUAGACUAGCAGCCUUUAGCGUGCACCAAUCACACUGAGAGAUAAAGGAAUCACUUCUGCCUUUGUGACCACUCCAACCAGAGGGCAAGUCAGGCCCAAAUAAUCUAUCCAAUUUGGAAGGGGACAGAAAUUCAUUUUUCAUAAUGUGUGACUGAAAUUCAACAUGUGCAGUUAUAACUACUACUGAAGAUGCAGAAUUCAGAGUACAAUCUUAAUAUUAGAAUGAAGUAUUCCAGAGUUCAGGGAAAACUAAGUACCAAGUCUCUCUCUCUAUUAGGAUCUGCUACUAGGGGCACUAAGGACGUCAAAGCUGGAGGAAGCAGCAGAAACUUGCUCCUUCCUGUACCUCUAGGAAGCUCCUUGGCUGCCGGUGGAUCCUGUGAGCAUCACUCUGCAAGGCAUUGCCACCCCAGCAACAGCAGUGCCUUUUUGUGGCUGCAGCUGAAUAUAGUUUGCAGUUUUGUCCAGCACUUGGAGAACCAAGUCAAUCGGCACUUUCCCAGCCACCAUUCCUCUCAGAGGUCUGGAUCCCAGCUUCCCAGACAGGGCCUCUCCUCUGAGUGCAGAGAUAUCAGCACGCGCCCAGCAGCACCUCCUCCUUAGAGGUCCGAGUUUGAGCUUCCCAGGCCUUGCCUCUGAGUUUCUAAGUUUUUCCCUUUGUUCCCUCAA
This is a non-coding RNA of Microcebus murinus (gray mouse lemur), 864 nucleotides long. Lineage: Eukaryota; Metazoa; Chordata; Mammalia; Primates; Cheirogaleidae. The record is from RefSeq and is a predicted model, not a curated record.